UAGUGGCGAACGGGUGAGUAACACGUGGGCAAUCUGCCCUGCACUCUGGGACAAGCCCUGGAAACGGGGUCUAAUACCGGAUAAUACUUUCUCCUGCAUGGGGGAGGGUUAAAAGCUCCGGCGGUGCAGGAUGAGCCCGCGGCCUAUCAGCUUGUUGGUGGGGUGAUGGCCUACCAAGGCGACGACGGGUAGCCGGCCUGAGAGGGCGACCGGCCACACUGGGACUGAGACACGGCCCAGACUCCUACGGGAGGCAGCAGUGGGGAAUAUUGCACAAUGGGCGAAAGCCUGAUGCAGCGACGCCGCGUGAGGGAUGACGGCCUUCGGGUUGUAAACCUCUUUCAGCAGGGAAGAAGCGAGAGUGACGGUACCUGCAGAAGAAGCGCCGGCUAACUACGUGCCAGCAGCCGCGGUAAUACGUAGGGCGCAAGCGUUGUCCGGAAUUAUUGGGCGUAAAGAGCUCGUAGGCGGUUUGUCACGUCGGAUGUGAAAGCCCGGGGCUUAACCCCGGGUCUGCAUUCGAUACGGGCAGACUAGAGUGUGGUAGGGGAGAUCGGAAUUNCU
RNAcentral lists this ribosomal RNA (564 nucleotides) under Streptomyces sp. 340H07. Its description in RNAcentral is "bacterial SSU rRNA". It matches the Rfam family "Bacterial small subunit ribosomal RNA", at positions 93 to 671 of the family's 1533-position model. The record is from RNAcentral. Lineage: Bacteria; Bacillati; Actinomycetota; Actinomycetes; Kitasatosporales; Streptomycetaceae.